UGUGGAUCCCUGGCUCACUAUCCAAUACCCUGUGCUCCAUUUAAUGAAUGCUAAUUUAACAAAGUCAUAACAAUAGGGUUUAUGUAUAAUAAUAGGGGAUUACAGCUAAAAGAACUGCAAGCCUCAGAUCUGAUUUAAGAAGUCUCUAGGGAAAUUAAAAGACAAAAGGGAAGGCAAAAACAAGGACACUAGAGGAAAUUUUAGCCACUAACACCACAGCUACAGCAACAGUAAACACAACCAAACUCUUACUCAGAUAACAUACAGCCUCACACUAAAGACCUAUUUAUCUCAGUUCCUUUUAUCCUAUGCAUCACUUCUCACAUUCAAACAAAAAUUACAAAAUAUGCUAACGGUCAAAAACCAUAGUUUGCAGAGACAGAGCAGGCAUCAGUACCAGACUCAAGUAUGACAGAGAUUUUGGAAUUAUCUGACCGGAAAUUUAAAGUAAAUACAAUUGAUAUGCUAAUAAUUAAAUGGGAAAAAAUGCACAACAGAGAGGUAAUAUAAAUAGAAAGAUGAAAGCUUUAGAAAGAAUCAAAAGAAAAUCAAAAACACUAUAAUAGAAACGAAAAGUUCCUUUAAUGGGCUCAUCAGUAGAUUGGAUACAGCUGAGGAAAAAUCAGUACGCUAGAAGAUACAUCAGUAGAAAUUUUGCAAAUUUUGCAAACUGACACAGAUCUACCACGUUAACCUAAUCAAAACAAAGCUGGAGUAACUAUAUGAGUUUCAGACAAAACAGAUUUCAGAAAAAGGAAAAUUAUUAGGGAUAAAAAGAAGCAUCUCAUAACGAUCAAGGAAUUAAUUCUCCAAGGAUAAUGUAACAAUCCUUAAUGAGUAUUCCUUAAUGAAAGAGCAUCAAAAUGAGGCAAAAAAAAAAAUGCUAGAAAUACAAGAAGAAAUAGAAGAAUCCACUAUUGUAAUUGGAGACUUCAAUACACCUCUAUCAGUAAUUGACAGAUCCAGCAGACAAAAAAUCGGUAAGGAUAUAGUUGAACUGAAUAACA
Molecule: long non-coding RNA, 1007 nt
Filed under: Equus caballus (horse)
Lineage: Eukaryota; Metazoa; Chordata; Mammalia; Perissodactyla; Equidae
Description: lncRNA (ENSECAG00000058813.1)
Source: RNAcentral